CAGCCGCCGCGGUAACACGUAGGUGGCAAGCGUUGUCCGGAAUUAUUGGGCGUAAAGGGCUCGCAGGCGGUUUCUUAAGUCUGAUGUGAAAGCCCCCGGCUCAACCGGGGAGGGUCAUUGGAAACUGGGAAACUUGAGUGCAGAAGAGGAGAGUGGAAUUCCACGUGUAGCGGUGAAAUGCGUAGAGAUGUGGAGGAACACCAGUGGCGAAGGCGACUCUCUGGUCUGUAUCUGACGCUGAGGAGCGAAAGCGUGGGGAGCGGACAGGAUUAGAUACCCGGGUAGUCCCUGUCUCUUAUAC
This 301-nucleotide ribosomal RNA is filed under the name uncultured bacterium. RNAcentral describes it as "partial 16S ribosomal RNA". It matches the Rfam family "Bacterial small subunit ribosomal RNA", at positions 509 to 807 of the family's 1533-position model. The record is from RNAcentral.